GGUGGGCCCGCGGCCUAUCAGCUAGUCGGUGGGGUCACGGCCUACCGAGGCGAUGACGGGUAGCUGGUCUGAGAGGACGACCAGCCACACGGGGACUGAGACACGGCCCCGACUCCUACGGGAGGCAGCAGUGAGGAAUCUUCCGCAAUGGGCGAAAGCCUGACGGAGCGACGCCGCGUGUGGGAUGAAGUCUUUCGGGAUGUAAACCACUGUCGGAGGGGAAGACAUCGACGGUACCCUCCAAGAAAGCCCCGGCUAACUACGUGCCAGCAGCCGCGGUAAUACGUAGGGGGGCAAGCGUUAUCCAGAUUUACUGGGCGUAAAGCGCGUGUAGGCGGCUGGUUAGGUGUGAUGUGAAAUCUUCCGGCUCAACCGGAAAACUGCAUUGCAAACCGGCCUGGCUAGAGUGCAGGAGAGGGAAGCGGAAUUCCAGGUGUAGCGGUGAAAUGCGUAGAUAUCUGGAGG
This 465-nucleotide ribosomal RNA is filed under the name uncultured Thermomicrobia bacterium. RNAcentral describes it as "bacterial SSU rRNA". It matches the Rfam family "Bacterial small subunit ribosomal RNA", at positions 224 to 704 of the family's 1533-position model. Lineage: Bacteria; Pseudomonadati; Thermomicrobiota; Thermomicrobia. The record is from RNAcentral.